This 1550-nucleotide ribosomal RNA is filed under the name metagenome. RNAcentral's name for it is "bacterial LSU rRNA". It matches the Rfam family "Bacterial large subunit ribosomal RNA", at positions 1404 to 2865 of the family's 2925-position model. The record is from RNAcentral.
UAUUCCCGUACCCGCUUCAAUGCGCCCAUAUCGAAGCUCGUGAUGCUAAGAGUCCUUAAGUCCUCUGAUGUCCUUCGGGACUAGGGGUGAGGCUGAACGCUCGAUCCGAUCGGGUAGUAGGUAAGCGAUGGGGUGACGCAGGAAGGUAGUCCAGCCCAGGCGAUGGUUGUCCUGGGGUAAGCAUGUAGGGCGUGUCGUAGGUAAAUCCGCGGCAUUUAAGCCUGAGAUGUGAUGCCGAGCCGAUUGUGGUGAAGUGGAUGAUCCUAUGCUGCCGAGAAAAGCCUCUAGUGAGUGUUGUGCGGCCCGUACCCUAAACCGACUCAGGUGGUCAGGUAGAGAAUACCAAGGCGAUCGGGUGAACUGUGGUUAAGGAACUCGGCAAAUUGCCCCCGUAACUUCGGGAGAAGGGGGACCUCUGUUGGUGAUGGGCUUUACGCCUGGAGCUGGUGGGGGUCGCAGUGGCCAGGGGGAAGCGACUGUUUACUAAAAACACAGGUCCGUGCGAAGUCGUAAGACGAUGUAUACGGACUGACGCCUGCCCGGUGCCGGAACGUUAAGGGGACCGCUUAGCUGACGUGAGUUGGCGAAGGUGAGAACUUAAGCGCCGGUAAACGGCGGUGGUAACUAUAACCAUCCUAAGGUAGCGAAAUUCCUUGUCGGGUAAGUUCCGACCUGCACGAAUGGCGUAACGACUUCCCCGCUGUCUCAACCGCAGACCCGGCGAAAUUGCACUACGAGUAAAGAUGCUCGUUUCGCGCAGCAGGACGGAAAGACCCCGGGACCUUCACUACAGCUUGACAUUGGCGUUUGGAACGUCUUGUGUAGGAUAGGUGGGAGACUGGGAAGCUGUCACGCUAGUGAUGGUGGAGUCAUAGGUGAAAUACCACUCUGGUCGUUUUGAACGUCUAACUCUGGUCCGUGAUCCGGAUCGGGGACAGUGUCUGGUGGGUAGUUUAACUGGGGCGGUUGCCUCCUAAAGAGUAACGGAGGCGCCCAAAGGUUCCCUCAGCCUGGUUGGCAAUCAGGUGUUGAGUGUAAGUGCACAAGGGAGCUUGACUGUGAGACUGACAGGUCGAGCAGGAGCGAAAGCUGGGACUAGUGAUCCGGCAUCGGCGUGUGGAAGCGGUGUCGCUCAACGGCUAAAAGGUACCCCGGGGAUAACAGGCUGAUCUUCCCCAAGAGUCCAUAUCGACGGGAUGGUUUGGCACCUCGAUGUCGGCUCGUCGCAUCCUGGGGCUGGAGUAGGUCCCAAGGGUUGGGCUGUUCGCCCAUUAAAGCGGUACGCGAGCUGGGUUUAGAACGUCGCGAGACAGUUCGGUCCCUAUCCGCUGCGCGCGCAGGAGACUUGAAGGGGGCUGUCCCUAGUACGAGAGGACCGGGACGGACGAACCUCUGGUGUGCCAGUUGUACCGCCAGGUGCACGGCUGGUUGGCUACGUUCGGAAGGGAUAACCGCUGAAAGCAUCUAAGCGGGAAGCUCGCCUUGAGAUGAGGUCUCCCACCACGAGAGUGGGUAAGGCUCCCGGUAGACGACCGGGUUGAUAGGCCGGA